Molecule: ribosomal RNA, 442 nt
Filed under: uncultured bacterium
Lineage: Bacteria
Description: partial 16S ribosomal RNA
Rfam family: Bacterial small subunit ribosomal RNA
Source: RNAcentral
CCUACGGGGUGCAGCAGUGGGGAAUAUUGGGCAAUGGGCGCAAGCCUGACCCAGCAACGCCGCGUGAAGGAAGAAGGCUUUCGGGUUGUAAACUUCUUUUGAUAGGGAAGAGCAGAACACGGUACCUGUCGUAUAAGCCACGGCUCACUACGUGCCAGCAGCCGCGGUAAUACGUAGGUGGCAAGCGCUUUUCGGAUUUACUGGGUGUAAAGGGCGUGUAGCCGGGCGGAAAAGUCAGAUGUGAAACCCUGGGGUUCAACCCCCGAACUGCAUUUGAAACUGUUGGUCUUGAGUAUGGGAGAGGCAGGGGGAAUUCUUGGUGUAGCGGUGAAAUGCGUAGAUAUUAGGAGGAACACCAAUGGCGAAGGCGGCCUGCUGGACGACAACUGACGGUGAGGCGCGAAAGCGUGGGGAGCAAACAGGAUUAGAUACCCCUGUAGUC